This 310-nucleotide unclassified non-coding RNA is filed under the name Hevea brasiliensis (rubber tree). Lineage: Eukaryota; Viridiplantae; Streptophyta; Magnoliopsida; Malpighiales; Euphorbiaceae. The record is from RNAcentral.
UUUAGACCGAUUCGUGAAGAUGAAGUAUCAAGAAUGAUCAAGAAAAUAUCUCAGCAUGUUGUCACUUCACAAAUCACCAAUUUGAGCAAUUUAAUGAUUUUAUUAAGUAGCAGUAUUAUUUUUAGAGUUGCUUUUGGUAUUAGGUAUGACGAAGAAUCACAUGAAAGUAGGAGGUUUUAUUUUCUUUUUGAAGAAUCAGCAGCAAUGAUGACUAGCUUCUUCGUGUCUGAUUUUUUUCCUUCUUUAAAUUGGAUCGAUAAACUUACUGGAUUGACAAAUAGACUUGAUAAGAAUUUCAAGGAGUUGGAUG